RNAcentral lists this transfer RNA (76 nucleotides) under Heliobacterium chlorum. RNAcentral's name for it is "tRNA-Ile". It matches the Rfam family "tRNA". From Rfam's summary of the family: Transfer RNA (tRNA) molecules are approximately 80 nucleotides in length. Their secondary structure includes four short double-helical elements and three loops (D, anti-codon, and T loops). The record is from RNAcentral. Lineage: Bacteria; Bacillati; Bacillota; Clostridia; Eubacteriales; Heliobacteriaceae. RNAcentral also lists the same sequence under 1 other name.
GGGUCUAUAGCUCAAUUGGCAGAGCGCCCGGCUCAUAACCGGUUGGUUACAGGUUCGACUCCUGUUAGACCCACCA